UACGGGAGGCAGCAGUGGGGAAUAUUGGACAAUGGGGGCAACCCUGAUCCAGCCAUGCCGCGUGUGUGAAAGAAGGGCCUUUUGGUUGUAAAGCUCUUUACAUGCAUGUGAAGGAAGACCCAACUGGUUAAUACCCCGUAGGCGAUGACAUUGCU
This 155-nucleotide ribosomal RNA is filed under the name uncultured bacterium. RNAcentral's name for it is "partial 16S ribosomal RNA". It matches the Rfam family "Bacterial small subunit ribosomal RNA", at positions 340 to 492 of the family's 1533-position model. The record is from RNAcentral.